RNAcentral lists this RNase P RNA (325 nucleotides) under Thermofilum sp. RNAcentral describes it as "RNase P RNA component". It matches the Rfam family "Archaeal RNase P". Rfam says of the family: Ribonuclease P (RNase P) is a ubiquitous endoribonuclease, found in archaea, bacteria and eukarya as well as chloroplasts and mitochondria. Its best characterised activity is the generation of mature 5'-ends of tRNAs by cleaving the 5'-leader elements of precursor-tRNAs. Cellular RNase Ps are ribonucleoproteins. The record is from RNAcentral. Lineage: Archaea; Thermoproteati; Thermoproteota; Thermoprotei; Thermofilales; Thermofilaceae.
GUCAGCCGGUGGGCGGGUGCCGGAUCCCCCACGGCGACGGGGGGAUCCGCGGAAGCUCCGCCAAAGCUGCGGGCUCGCGCCGCUGUAAGGCGGCGGGGGGAAUCCCCGGGCAACGGCCCAGAAACGCAACCCCCCUUCCGGCAGUGAACAUGAUGCGGUAAACCUCCGGCAACGGAGGCUUCCCGCUGAGGAGCCGGGAGGGGAGGAUGAAACGGCCGCCCCGCGGGUUAGGGCCAAGCAGGGUCCGUGAGGUCCCGCAGCGAGACCCGGGUGGGCCCCCAGACGAAUCCCGCCUGAAACAGAAGGCGGGCUACUACCGGCUGAC